Molecule: ribosomal RNA, 253 nt
Filed under: uncultured bacterium
Lineage: Bacteria
Description: partial 16S ribosomal RNA
Rfam family: Bacterial small subunit ribosomal RNA
Source: RNAcentral
UACGUAGGUGGCAAGCGUUGUCCGGAUUUACUGGGCGUAAAGCGUGCGUAGGCGGUUUAGUGUGUGGGAAUUGAAAGCCCGGGGCUCAACUCCGGAUCCGGUUCCCAAACUGCUAGACUCGAGCGUAUCAGAGGAGAGCGGAAUUCCCGGUGUAGCGGUAAUAUGCGUAGAUAUCAGGAGGAACACCAAUGGCGAAGGCAGCUCGCUGGGACGGUACUGACGCUGAGGCGCGAAAGCGUGGGGAGCAAACAGG